AAUCAACGCUGGCGGCGUGCCUCAGACAUGCAAGUCGAACGAUUAAAGCUCUCUUCGGAGAGUGCAUAGAGUGGCGCACGGGUGAGUAACACGUAAGUAAUCUACCUUCGAGUGGGGAAUAACGUCCGGAAACGGACGCUAAUACCGCAUAAUGCAGCGGCAUCGCAAGAUGACAGUUGUUAAAGGAGCAAUUCGCUUGAAGAGGAGCUUGCGGCAGAUUAGCUAGUUGUAAGGUAAUGGCUUACCAAGGCUACGAUCUGUAACCGGUCUAAGAGGACGGUCGGUCACACUGACACUGAAUAACGGGUCAGACUCCUACGGGAGGCAGCAGUCGGGAAUUUUGGGCAAUGGGCGAAAGCCUGACCCAGCAACGCCGCGUGAAGGAU
This 386-nucleotide ribosomal RNA is filed under the name uncultured bacterium. RNAcentral's name for it is "bacterial SSU rRNA". It matches the Rfam family "Bacterial small subunit ribosomal RNA", at positions 32 to 409 of the family's 1533-position model. The record is from RNAcentral.